ACAUUGGUGAUUCAGUGGUAGAAUUCUCAUCUUCCAUACAGGAGACCAGGGUUCGAUUCCCAGCCAGUGAA
Molecule: transfer RNA, 71 nt
Filed under: Loxodonta africana (African savanna elephant)
Lineage: Eukaryota; Metazoa; Chordata; Mammalia; Proboscidea; Elephantidae
Rfam family: tRNA
About the family: Transfer RNA (tRNA) molecules are approximately 80 nucleotides in length. Their secondary structure includes four short double-helical elements and three loops (D, anti-codon, and T loops).
Source: Rfam by way of RNAcentral